Molecule: ribosomal RNA, 478 nt
Filed under: uncultured bacterium
Lineage: Bacteria
Description: partial 16S ribosomal RNA
Rfam family: Bacterial small subunit ribosomal RNA
Source: RNAcentral
GAUGAACGCUAGCGGCAGGCUUAACACAUGCAAGUCGAGGGGUAUUUAUCUUCGGAUAGAGAGACCGGCGCACGGGUGCGUAACGCGUAUGCAAUCUACCUUUUACAGAGGGAUAGCCCAGAGAAAUUUGGAUUAAUACCUCAUAGUAUAUAGACUCGGCAUCGAGAUUAUAUUAAAGUCACAACGGUAAAAGAUGAGCAUGCGUCCCAUUAGCUAGUUGGUAAGGUAACGGCUUACCAAGGCUACGAUGGGUAGGGGUCCUGAGAGGGAGAUCCCACACACUGGUACUGAGACACGGACCAGACUCCUACGGGAGGCAGCAGUGAGGAAUAUUGGACAGUGGGCGCAAGCCUGACCCAGCCAUGCCGCGUGCAGGAUGACGGUCCUAUGGAUUGUAAACUGCUUUUAUACGAGAAGAACCGCUGCUACGUGUAGCAGCUUGACGGUAUCGUAAGAAUAAGGAUCGGCUAACUCCGUG